GGGUUGUGAGGUUAAGCGACUAAGCGUACACGGUGGAUGCCCUGGCAGUCAGAGGCGAUGAAGGACGUGCUAAUCUGCGAUAAGCGUCGGUAAGGUGAUAUGAACCGUUAUAACCGGCGAUUUCCGAAUGGGGAAACCCAGUGUGUUUCGACACACUAUCAUUAACUGAAUCCAUAGGUUAAUGAGGCGAACCGGGGGAACUGAAACAUCUAAGUACCCCGAGGAAAAGAAAUCAACCGAGAUUCCCCCAGUAGCGGCGAGCGAACGGGGAGCAGCCCAGAGCCUGAAUCAGUGUGUGUGUUAGUGGAAGCGUCUGGAAAGGCGCGCGAUACAGGGUGACAGCCCCGUACACAAAAAUGCACAUGCUGUGAGCUCGAUGAGUAGGGCGGGACACGUGGUAUCCUGUCUGAAUAUGGGGGGACCAUCCUCCAAGGCUAAAUACUCCUGACUGACCGAUAGUGAACCAGUACCGUGAGGGAAAGGCGAAAAGAACCCCGGCGAGGGGAGUGAAAAAGAACCUGAAACCGUGUACGUACAAGCAGUGGGAGCACGCUUCGGCGUGUGACUGCGUACCUUUUGUAUAAUGGGUCAGCGACUUAUAUUCUGUAGCAAGGUUAACCGAAUAGGGGAGCCGAAGGGAAACCGAGUCUUAACUGGGCGUUAAGUUGCAGGGUAUAGACCCGAAACCCGGUGAUCUAGCCAUGGGCAGGUUGAAGGUUGGGUAACACUAACUGGAGGACCGAACCGACUAAUGUUGAAAAAUUAGCGGAUGACUUGUGGCUGGGGGUGAAAGGCCAAUCAAACCGGGAGAUAGCUGGUUCUCCCCGAAAGCUAUUUAGGUAGCGCCUCGUGAAUUCAUCUCCGGGGGUAGAGCACUGUUUCGGCAAGGGGGUCAUCCCGACUUACCAACCCGAUGCAAACUGCGAAUACCGGAGAAUGUUAUCACGGGAGACACACGGCGGGUGCUAACGUCCGUCGUGAAGAGGGAAACAACCCAGACCGCCAGCUAAGGUCCCAAAGUCAUGGUUAAGUGGGAAACGAUGUGGGAAGGCCCAGACAGCCAGGAUGUUGGCUUAGAAGCAGCCAUCAUUUAAAGAAAGCGUAAUAGCUCACUGGUCGAGUCGGCCUGCGCGGAAGAUGUAACGGGGCUAAACCAUGCACCGAAGCUGCGGCAGCGACGCUUAUGCGUUGUUGGGUAGGGGAGCGUUCUGUAAGCCUGUGAAGGUGUGCUGUGAGGCAUGCUGGAGGUAUCAGAAGUGCGAAUGCUGACAUAAGUAACGAUAAAGCGGGUGAAAAGCCCGCUCGCCGGAAGACCAAGGGUUCCUGUCCAACGUUAAUCGGGGCAGGGUGAGUCGACCCCUAAGGCGAGGCCGAAAGGCGUAGUCGAUGGGAAACAGGUUAAUAUUCCUGUACUUGGUGUUACUGCGAAGGGGGGACGGAGAAGGCUAUGUUGGCCGGGCGACGGUUGUCCCGGUUUAAGCGUGUAGGCUGGUUUUCCAGGCAAAUCCGGAAAAUCAAGGCUGAGGCGUGAUGACGAGGCACUACGGUGCUGAAGCAACAAAUGCCCUGCUUCCAGGAAAAGCCUCUAAGCAUCAGGUAACAUCAAAUCGUACCCCAAACCGACACAGGUGGUCAGGUAGAGAAUACCAAGGCGCUUGAGAGAACUCGGGUGAAGGAACUAGGCAAAAUGGUGCCGUAACUUCGGGAGAAGGCACGCUGAUAUGUAGGUGAAGUCCCUCGCGGAUGGAGCUGAAAUCAGUCGAAGAUACCAGCUGGCUGCAACUGUUUAUUAAAAACACAGCACUGUGCAAACACGAAAGUGGACGUAUACGGUGUGACGCCUGCCCGGUGCCGGAAGGUUAAUUGAUGGGGUUAGCGCAAGCGAAGCUCUUGAUCGAAGCCCCGGUAAACGGCGGCCGUAACUAUAACGGUCCUAAGGUAGCGAAAUUCCUUGUCGGGUAAGUUCCGACCUGCACGAAUGGCGUAAUGAUGGCCAGGCUGUCUCCACCCGAGACUCAGUGAAAUUGAACUCGCUGUGAAGAUGCAGUGUACCCGCGGCAAGACGGAAAGACCCCGUGAACCUUUACUAUAGCUUGACACUGAACAUUGAGCCUUGAUGUGUAGGAUAGGUGGGAGGCUUAGAAGUGUGGACGCCAGUCUGCAUGGAGCCGACCUUGAAAUACCACCCUUUAAUGUUUGAUGUUCUAACGUUGACCCGUAAUCCGGGUUGCGGACAGUGUCUGGUGGGUAGUUUGACUGGGGCGGUCUCCUCCUAAAGAGUAACGGAGGAGCACGAAGGUUGGCUAAUCCUGGUCGGACAUCAGGAGGUUAGUGCAAUGGCAUAAGCCAGCUUGACUGCGAGCGUGACGGCGCGAGCAGGUGCGAAAGCAGGUCAUAGUGAUCCGGUGGUUCUGAAUGGAAGGGCCAUCGCUCAACGGAUAAAAGGUACUCCGGGGAUAACAGGCUGAUACCGCCCAAGAGUUCAUAUCGACGGCGGUGUUUGGCACCUCGAUGUCGGCUCAUCACAUCCUGGGGCUGAAGUAGGUCCCAAGGGUAUGGCUGUUCGCCAUUUAAAGUGGUACGCGAGCUGGGUUUAGAACGUCGUGAGACAGUUCGGUCCCUAUCUGCCGUGGGCGCUGGAGAACUGAGGGGGGCUGCUCCUAGUACGAGAGGACCGGAGUGGACGCAUCACUGGUGUUCGGGUUGUCAUGCCAAUGGCACUGCCCGGUAGCUAAAUGCGGAAGAGAUAAGUGCUGAAAGCAUCUAAGCACGAAACUUGCCCCGAGAUGAGUUCUCCCUGACCCUUUAAGGGUCCUGAAGGAACGUUGAAGACGACGACGUUGAUAGGCCGGGUGUGUAAGCGCAGCGAUGCGUUGAGCUAACCGGUACUAAUGAACCGUGAGGCUUAACCUUACAACGCCGAAGCUGUU
RNAcentral lists this ribosomal RNA (2930 nucleotides) under Escherichia coli. RNAcentral's name for it is "23S ribosomal RNA". It matches the Rfam family "Bacterial large subunit ribosomal RNA". Lineage: Bacteria; Pseudomonadati; Pseudomonadota; Gammaproteobacteria; Enterobacterales; Enterobacteriaceae. The record is from RNAcentral.